Myotis myotis is the source of this 2212-nucleotide long non-coding RNA. RefSeq lists it as uncharacterized. NCBI's taxonomy places the organism in Eukaryota, Metazoa, Chordata, Mammalia, Chiroptera, Vespertilionidae. The record is from RefSeq and is a predicted model, not a curated record. The transcript has 4 exons.
CGGAUCCGCGGGGCGCACAGAGCGCCACCUCUCGCCUGGGCGCGACUUGGAGGUGCGGGGGCAGCACCAGGGGAGCCGAGGCCAGUGCGCGGCUGGACCGCUCGCCUCCACGAAGGGUGGGUGCGCCCCGACCCGGAGGACUCCCGCCUCGACCAGGUGGAACCUUAAAUAGCUUCCGAGAGGGACCCUUGGAAGUUUCUGGAAAGCAGGCCUCUGGCUGGAGCCGGUGGGAGCCGUCUGCUGCCCACACAUCUGAGAGUGACCGCACCACCCAGCUGAGACCCUGAGGGAACUGGCAGCCGCUGUUUCGAGAACUGGAAAUGGAGACUGGAGGAUUGACUGGACCAAGAGGUCACCAGCUUGGGGAGAACCACUCCUGCACGGCCCCUUCUCCCGGACCUGGGUUCCUCCUCAGCACCCCCUAUUCAGACUCCAGCGCCUGGAGCAGGGGCUGCGUGGGGAGGUGGUGGUGGGAUGCUCGGCUGAGGGGGCAUCUGCCGCCCGAUGGCCGGCCCAGGAGGGGCGUUCUCCACAGGUAAGGCGUGGUCGGUGCUGCUUUCCCCGGGAAUGGAGUCGAAGAGGUUCGCACGGAUCCCUGCAAACAUUUGAUAAAGAGGCUAAAUACACUUGAGCAGGAAGAAGCAAAGGCCUGGUUCCGGGUUCCGUGGGUGGGGACCCAGGAAAACCCAGGCCAAAGGUGUGUGUCGGAGGCCAGCGGGAGAGACCUGGUGGAAGAAGGGGGCAGGGGUCCCCAGGCUGGGGAGCUGCUGGUGGGAGGGAGGGUGCCCCUAGGCAGGGGAUGCCAGUCGCCUCCGGAGCUCUCUGCCGCCCCGGCCUUGCCCGAGGCCCAUCAUUAAGGUGAGUCAGGUGUUCCAAGUAGGUGGGGAGAGGCCACCGCACAGCUGAGGUGACUGGCUGGGCACCCGCCCCUGGAGGCCCCUCCUGGCACUCGGGAGGGUCAGGAAGGCCUGGUCCACCUCAGAGCCAGGCAGGGCUAGAGGCGGGCAAGGUGCCUUUAUGAAGGGCUGUCAGCGCCCUAGCUGGUGUGGCUCAGUGGGUAGAGCGUCGGCCUACGGACCAAAGGGUCCUGGGUUCGAUUCCAGUCAAGGGCAUGUACCUCGGUUGCAGGCUCUUCCCUGGUCAGGGCGAGUGCAGGAGGCAACCCAUCGAUGUGUUUCUCUCAGAUGGCUGUGUCUCUUCUUUCCUUCUCUGAAGGAUCGAUGGAAAAAUAACCUCAGGUGAGCACUAGCAGAGAGCCCAGCACGCUGGGUGCUCAGCCCACGGCACCCUAAAACCCCCGUGCAGAGGUCCCAGAGCUGAUGGGGGCCCUGCUGGCUCCAGCUCCCGUGGUCCCGCUGCUCGGCACAGGCUGGUGAGGCGCCACGGUCACUGGGUGGCAUCUGUCUGCAGCUCGACAGGACUGUGAAGGGUGCUGUCGGGAGAGUCGCCUGCAAUCCUGGGGCCCAGGCCCACCUGAUCCCUGGUCCAGAGGUGCCAGGAGAUGGGGGGCACACCCAGGCCCGGCGGCCCCAAGUCUCGGUUCUCUCAUCUGGACAAUGGAGGCCCGUCACCCUGCACGCACAGCUGCCUCCGCAGUGCACAUGCCCCUGGGCACACAGGCAGAGCCCUGGCACCCAGCUGUGCAGAAAUGAAGUUUACAAUACCCCAGAAUGCCUGAUGGGCGUGGCUCAGUGGUUGACCAUCAACCUAUGUGUGAACCAGGAGGUCACAGUUCGAUUCUAAUCAGCGCUCAUGCCCGGGUUGUGGGCUGGAUCCCCAGUGGGGGGUGUGCCAGAGGCAGCCGAUCCAUGAUUCUCUCUCAUCCUUGAUGUUUCUCUCUCUCUCCCUCUCCCUUUCUGAAAUCAAUAAAAAAAUAUAUUUUUAAAACCCAGAAUUGAUAACUACUUUGUGAAUGAAGAGCCAUGUCACGGGCACUGGGUGGCUUCACAAAGCGAAGGCGAGGCCUGGACAGUGGGCACUGGAAACCGGCUGCCCCAGACGGGUGCGCUCUGCGGGCAAAGCCCACAGCCUCCGCAGGCCUCAUAGGAAAGUGAAGAGCAUAACAUGUCUCGGUAAUUUUUAUAUGAACCACAUGUUAGGAUGAUACCAUUGAGUUAAAUAAAUUAUAUGAUUGCAAUUAAUUUCCCGUUUGGUUCUCCUUUGUUUCGUGUGGCUACUAGGAAGUUUAAAAUGCCGUGCUGCUCAGAGGCUU